AAUGAACGUUGGCGGCAUGGAUUAGGCAUGCAAGUCGAGCGAGAAAUCUAAGAUUGAAACUUCGGUCGAUUUCUUAGAUGGAAAGCGGCGCAAGGGAGAGUAACGCGUAGUUAUCUACCCCGAGGCCCGGAAUAGCUGCGGGAAACUGCAGGUAAUGCCGGAUGAUAUCUGCUUCUGUGAUGGAUGCAGAUCAAAGGUGUGAUUCCGCCUUGGGAGGGGACUGCGUUGUAUUAGCUUGUUGGUGGGGUAAUGGCCUACCAAGGCGAUGAUGCAUAGCGGGCGUGAGAGCGUGGCCCGUCUCACUGGGACUGAGACACUGCCCAGACACCUACGGGUGGCUGCAGUCGAGAAUCUUCGGCAAUGGGCGAAAGCCUGACCGAGCGAUGCCGCGUGCGGGAUGAAGGCCUUCGGGUUGUAAACCGCUGUCAGUUGGGAGGAAGGCUCUGUGAAGAGCGGAGUUUGACCUAUCUUCAGAGGAAGUCCGGCUAAGUU
RNAcentral lists this ribosomal RNA (492 nucleotides) under uncultured bacterium. RNAcentral's name for it is "bacterial SSU rRNA". It matches the Rfam family "Bacterial small subunit ribosomal RNA", at positions 29 to 503 of the family's 1533-position model. The record is from RNAcentral.